CUCCAUACCAAUGAGACAACCAGAAUCAUUCUCCAACCCUACAUGGAACAAGAAUAGUAAGUAUAUAUCGGUGGAGACACCCAAUAUGCAUGAUGGGGGUGCAGAAAGACCACUUUGUCAUUUUCGUUGCACACAGGUUGGUCAUUAUGUUAGUGAAUGUUCCAAUCCCAAAGCCAGUGAUGAUUAUGCAUUGUCAUGUUAUAAUACAACUAUAUGGUG
RNAcentral lists this long non-coding RNA (219 nucleotides) under Physcomitrium patens. RNAcentral's name for it is "long non-coding RNA (PPAT_LNC004894)". Lineage: Eukaryota; Viridiplantae; Streptophyta; Bryopsida; Funariales; Funariaceae. The record is from RNAcentral.